Silurus meridionalis is the source of this 137-nucleotide small nucleolar RNA. RefSeq annotates it as small nucleolar RNA SNORA84. The record is from RefSeq and is a predicted model, not a curated record. The transcript has a single exon. NCBI's taxonomy places the organism in Eukaryota, Metazoa, Chordata, Actinopteri, Siluriformes, Siluridae.
GCCUGGUGGUUCCUUGAGGCUGCUUAUCUGUGCUGCUCAUCGAGGUUUUAUUUCACAGGCAAAAAGUAACCUCUUCAAUUUAAUGCUUGGGAGUUUCCUACCUAUGUGACUUCCAAAGCCCGGCUGGAGAGAUAUUC